GACGAACGCUGGCGGCGUGCUUAACACGUGCAAGUCGAACGGAAAGGCCCUGCUUUUGUGGGGUGCUCGAGUGGCGAACGGGUGAGUAACACGUGAGUAACCUGCCCUUGACUUUGGGAUAACUUCAGGAAACUGGGGCUAAUACCGGAUAGGAGCCCCUGCUGCAUGGUGGGGGUUGGAAAGUUUCGGCGGUUGGGGAUGGACUCGCGGCUUAUCAGCUUGUUGGUGGGGUAGUGGCUUACCAAGGCUUUGACGGGUAGCCGGCCUGAGAGGGUGACCGGCCACAUUGGGACUGAGAUACGGCCCAGACUCCUACGGGAGGCAGCAGUGGGGAAUAUUGCACAAUGGGCGGAAGCCUGAUGCAGCAACGCCGCGUGCGGGAUGACGGCCUUCGGGUUGUAAACCGCUUUCGCCUGUGACGAAGCGUGAGUGACGGUAAUGGGUAAAGAAGCACCGGCUAACUACGUG
Molecule: ribosomal RNA, 468 nt
Filed under: uncultured bacterium
Lineage: Bacteria
Description: partial 16S ribosomal RNA
Rfam family: Bacterial small subunit ribosomal RNA
Source: RNAcentral